This 183-nucleotide non-coding RNA is filed under the name bacterium YEK0313. The record is from RNAcentral.
GUAGUGCUAAAACUCGACGGUGCCUCUUCGAUGAGGUGAAAAGGGAACGUGGUGGAAAACCACGGCUGCCCCCGCAACUGUAAGCGGCGAACCGAAGCCAGAGGCCACUGGGCGCGUCCCGGGAAGGCGGCGGAAGGUUUAGACCCGCGAGCCAGGAGACCUGCCGUCACCAGUGCUUCUCAU